This is a long non-coding RNA of Anastrepha ludens (Mexican fruit fly), 743 nucleotides long. RefSeq lists it as uncharacterized. NCBI's taxonomy places the organism in Eukaryota, Metazoa, Arthropoda, Insecta, Diptera, Tephritidae. The record is from RefSeq and is a predicted model, not a curated record. The transcript has 4 exons.
CAAUAAAUGAAAUUUGAACUGAAAUUUGAAGAUGAUUCCUUUGCCUUUCUCGACGUAACCAAGAGUCCGUUGAAAAAAUAGUCUUGCUUAUUUAAUGGUACUCCUGUGCGAAGGAAAUGCUGACGUCGAUCUCACAGAAGAACUCUGGAAUGUUAAUUGCUUUAGCAAUAAAAACAUUAACACAUUCUACAGUGUAAAAAAAGCAAUAGUGCACUUCGAACUAAACAGUCAUUAAACUGAAGAAGGCAACAGAAGAGGUGUAGGCACCUGGUGUCAUCAUAUUUACCAUACAAUAGAUUAGUGCCACCCGCAGAAGUCGGAAAACUAUCAGUAUAGGUGGCGAUGCAGGGAAGUUGCUGUUAAUCUGCGGUGCGAACUGGAAACAUGAAGUUUAUGGCAGCGCAGAAGCGAACAACAGAGGUAUUACUCCAGCCUUGUUUAUCUGAGUUCGGAUGACUACGAGAGGUAGGAGGGGAUGCUAGACCUUCCCUCAUUACAGACAAUUCGUUAAGGGGGCAAAAUCAGAGUCUAAAGUACGAAGUCGUUUUUAGACCACUGGAUCUUAUUUGAACUGAAUUUAAAUAUUAAAGAUCUAGUGUCCUAUAGAAAUCCUUAAAGAACUGACUGGCGCUUAUCUAUUUGCAAUGUAGGCAAUACUCCAACUUUGCCUUUCCGUGUUCAUUAUGUAGAGUAUCGCUAAAUUCAGACUAUGCUAUAUUCGCACUAAAACAAUAAAUUCACCA